GGAAGUAAAAGUCGUAACAAGGUCUCCGUUGGUGAACCAGCGGAGGGAUCAUUACCGAGUUUACAACUCCCAAACCCAAUGUGAACGUUACCAAACUGUUGCCUCGGCGGGGUCACGCCCCGGGUGCGUCGCAGCCCCGGAACCAGGCGCCCGCCGGAGGAACCAACCAAACUCUUUCUGUAGUCCCCUCGCGGACGUAUUUCUUACAGCUCUGAGCAAAAAUUCAAAAUGAAUCAAAACUUUCAACAACGGAUCUCUUGGUUCUGGCAUCGAUGAAGAACGCAGCGAAAUGCGAUAAGUAAUGUGAAUUGCAGAAUUCAGUGAAUCAUCGAAUCUUUGAACGCACAUUGCGCCCGCCAGUAUUCUGGCGGGCAUGCCUGUCCGAGCGUCAUUUCAACCCUCGAACCCCUCCGGGGGAUCGGCGUUGGGGAUCGGGACCCCUCACACGGGUGCCGGCCCCGAAAUACAGUGGCGGUCUCGCCGCAGCCUCUCCUGCGCAGUAGUUUGCACAACUCGCACCGGGAGCGCGGCGCGUCCACGUCCGUAAAACACCCAACUUUCUGAAAUGUUGACCUCGGAUCAGGUAGGAAUACCCGCUGAACUUAAGCAUAUCAAUAAGCGGAGGAU
This 627-nucleotide ribosomal RNA is filed under the name Trichoderma asperellum. RNAcentral's name for it is "eukaryotic LSU rRNA". The stretch from base 238 to 391 matches the Rfam family "5.8S ribosomal RNA". The record is from RNAcentral. Lineage: Eukaryota; Fungi; Ascomycota; Sordariomycetes; Hypocreales; Hypocreaceae.